GCAGAGAGCUGCACAGGUAUCCAGCAGCAGUGCUCCUGGUCCCCGCUAGUCUACCUAGCGACACUUGCCUCUCUCUCUGCGUGAUUACGACUGGAGUGUGUGUGGAGGUGGGAGCCUCGGCGAAUCCACCCCGCAUCAACAUAUCCCGCUCAGGUCACCCCUACCGGCAUUUUCCAUCUCCCGUCUCCGAAGAUGAUACCUGGCAAACGAAGAGCUGCAGUCAUGUCCUUCUCGGUGGCGAUAUUUGGAGCCCUGAUGCUGCAGUCCGUCUCGUCCCAGAACGAGCCGUCAAUCGCCAGCUCUGAACACACCACACUUCCUGUGGAAGGCGACGUUUACAUUCUGCAGUGCAACCUGACCAGCGCCCACGGUGCCCACCAGGAGAGCUACUGGAUGAAGAAUGGAGAGGAAAUCUCAGAAACACGCAGCCCGAAUAAGAACACCGAGUACAAGCUGAACAAACCAAGAGGAGACGCCGCCGGAGUGUACAUGUGUGUCUACACCUUCCAGAUGUCUCCUCCAGCAAACGCCACCAUCGAAGUUAAAUCUGCUCCUGACAUUAUAGGCCACAAGCGUAGUGAGAACAAGAACGAGGGCCAGCUUGCUGUGCUCUACUGUAAGUCUGUGGGCUACCCUUAUCCUGUCUGGACCUGGCGCAAGUUCGAAAACGGCAUGCACAGGGAAAUUGACAACUCUAGCGGACGCUUCUCCAUCAACAGCAGAGACAACUACACCGAGCUCCACAUUAUCAACCUGGACAUUAAUUUAGACCCAGGCGAGUACCACUGCAACGCCACCAACAUGCUCGGCAGCAGCGACCAGAAGAUCGUGUUAAGGGUUCGCAGUCUCCUGGCCCCCCUAUGGCCUCUUCUGGGGGUUUUGGCUGAGAUCAUCAUCCUGAUCGUCAUCAUUGUCGUUUAUGAGAAGCGUAAGAAGCCGGAGGAUUUACAAGACGGUGAGUCACCCGGACCGUUUUAUUAUUCUACUGUUUUUAUUAUAGAGGAGGGGUUUUAUUGUUCAGCUUUGAUAUGUAUAUGCGGUUGAUUUUGUGCCUUCCAAAUCCCUGUCAGCGUGGUACGACUGUGAGAGGAGGCGCACUCUGUUUUUCGGUGUCCGCUUGAGUCAUUCCUUCGCAAGAGACACCGGCAGAGUCACCUGACACUGUGCAGAGCCUGCAUUCAAUAAUUAAGUCUGGCGAGGUUGACCCAACAGGCAGACACUGUUGCAGGAGGUCGCACCUUGUCAGGACAAUUUUAUGCAUUUAAUAUUCAUGAGAAAUAUGAUACUGCAGUGUUGCGGAGGUGGACAGUUUCAAUUAUUAACAGCUUUCCAGGGACCUUGUGCUGUCCCUGAGCUGCUGCAAGCUUAACCACGAGACACAUCAUUUAGCUACACAACCUGGGAUUUUCCAAUACUACCGAGUACUUAAUUUUCAAGAGUCUCCAUAUAUCAUAAAUUAUGCAUUAAUGGUAUUUGGCUGACCUUUUUCUCUCAAACAGAAUUUUGAUGUUGUCACAUGCUGAUUAGAUGCAACGUGCAGCGAAUGACUGACAGCUCGGAGCUGUCGGUGGCAGCACAGGCACAGGACUGUUUUGUCAUUAUGGUUCAUUACAUGGUGUUUAAGUCACCUUGAGAGUCCUCACAGUCUUACAAAAUGGAUGCAGAUUGUGUGAAUCAUGCAGCGAAUUCUUGCAUGAAAUGUUAAUGCUUCAUACAAAGGUUAGUGAUGGCUGUUUGAUUAUUUUAACAGAUUGUUAUAAUAUCUCCCAUCCUCCCCCUUUUUCCCCUAAAUUGCAAAACCCUUAACCUUGUUUGUGGUAAGUGUGAGACUUUGCAUGCUUCAUGAGUUAUAAUAAGCAUUCAGCCUCAUCUUCUUCCAGUUCACAGCACAGCAACAGAGUGUCAAGUGCCAUUCAAAAUGCUCCGUUUUUAAGAUUUUAUUUUAAAAACCCUACCUUCAUGUAUUUGCACUGCAGCGGUGAGAUGGCAUGCAAGUCACCGUAAAAAAACCCUGAAAAUAUUUUGUGUUUUUCAAUCAAUUCUACCAUCUCUGUUUCACGCUGCUUCUAUGACUUCAUUACCCUCAUUCGAGGGGUGAUAUUAAUGCAGCUGCUCCUCACUAAUCUCUCUCAGUGAACAGCUGUUCUUUGUGAGCGUCUGUGCAUGACAACAGUAUUUUUUUUAAAAUAUGAAUUUUGCCUGUAUGUAAUUGUUUUAAUGGCAUUGUGCUACAUUUGACUGCAUUCUGUGUGUUUGUGAGUGGCCUCAUGAGGUGGUUUUUCCUGCGGCAUGACAGCCUGAUGUUUACUAUUUUGUUACUUCAUCACGGCAACGUCUUCAUUCCAUAACAAGUCUGCACAUACAGUUUCAAUAUAAAAACUCUUCAAAACAUCAAGUGCACCAUUCGUGAGUCCCAGCUAUAGUUCUCAAUGCUGUAUGUUUCUGUUAAAAAAACAAAAACAAAAAACCCUUUAUGAACGUAUGCAACUUCCUUGCGAUUAUUCUAUUUUCUUGGUCUUCAUUUCUCCAUAUUUUCCCUUGCUGCCUCAGAUGAUGACCACGCAGGCCCUGUGAAAACUAACUCGACCAACAACCACAAAGACAAGAAUCUCCGCCAGAGGAAUACCAACUGAGCAGCCUGUCUGCUGAGUUUUGGUCCACCUGUAUUGACCACAUGAAGGUAAACAAGAGGGGAAUCCAUGCCAGUUGUUAAUAGGAUGUAUCUGCCAUUACGAGUCUGGUUGUGGAGAAGUUCAAUGAGGCAUGCCUUAUGAUUUUGUUGUGUGAGGGUGCAAAUAUGGAAUAUGGAAUUGUUAACAUUAUAACCAUUGUUGCAGCAUGCAGUUGUUGAAGUUCAUGAUUUUUCCCUCUUAUCCACUAAUUUUACAUUUUUACUACUUCUAAAAUAAUGCAUGCAAGAUAUUGACCUUCUGUUUGAUACAGAAAUGGCUUUUUUUCUCUCUUUUCUUUCUUUUUUUUUUUUUUUUUUUGCUCUUUACUCUGAGAGUGGCUUUAAUUAGAUAGCCUGUACUGUGUGUUCUAGAAGAAAAACAAAACUCGGCAAUGUCAAAGAAAAUGCCGCCAUAAUCUGGUAUGACAGUUGUGUACAGUUUUAUCAUAUCCACUGAAUACCAUUUUAUCAGAAAAUAUAUAUUACAUUUUAAGGGCUUUGCAAUGUCCCUCUAAAUUUGAUUAAGAUUUACUUUACUGUAUGUACUGUAUGUAUUAAAUCACUAUAACUAUGUAUCAGAUCACCAUUAAUAUAAAGACUAUUCAUAUGAUAUGAUGCACUUAAAUGUUGAGGAUAAUGAAAAACUGUAUAAACCUACUUUAGAGAAUCUGUACUAAUCAUUCUAACAUAUUGUUUUAUAAUUACUGUAUGUGUAUUGUACAGCAUGGCUAUUAUCCUAUGCAAUUAUUAUCCAUAUCAAUAUAUUGAAAAUCAUUGCAGCUUUUGAUUUCUCUGUGACAAAGCUUUAAACUAGUAGGAUCACCGUAGAGCGUUGAUGGCAUACUACACGGCUGCAUGAAUUCUCUACAGCUGGCGUGGGAGGCGGCGAAAAGAAGCCCACGUCAGGACUGACACACGUGAAGCAAUUCCAAGAUCCCCGACUCAUUUUUAAGAAUAAAUAUCUGAAAAAAGAAA
This is an RNA transcript of Centropristis striata (black sea bass), 3646 nucleotides long. It is a transcript of the gene named neuroplastin-like, with no coding region annotated. The record is from RefSeq and is a predicted model, not a curated record. Lineage: Eukaryota; Metazoa; Chordata; Actinopteri; Perciformes; Serranidae. The transcript is spliced from 7 exons.